AAUCAGGGGGCUCUGACCGCAGCAUGGGGCGGCUGCCUUGCCCUCUGCCCUCCUGAAUGUCGUAAGGGCCAUUUAUUCAAUUAUUCAUGCAACCAUUGGGUAGAGGAGCUGCACAUUUCAGUUUCAUUCCAACUGCUUGCAAGUUUACGGUUAAGAACUGCUGUAAGGUCCAGCGAGCUCAGGACUGCCUGCCCCUAUACUGCAGUGUCAGUUAAUUGCAAGGAGCAUGAGGAAUACCUGUCUGUUUCCCUUCUGGCUCCAUGGAAUGUGCAUACACUCAGAGGAAGCAGAUCGUGUGUCUCAAAGGCCAUGUACGCUCCACUAAACUGAAAGUAGUAAUCCAGGUGAGUUGGAUGGAGAUU
This 362-nucleotide long non-coding RNA is filed under the name Anser brachyrhynchus (Pink-footed goose). Its description in RNAcentral is "lncRNA (ENSABRG00000004927.1)". The record is from RNAcentral. Lineage: Eukaryota; Metazoa; Chordata; Aves; Anseriformes; Anatidae.